AUUGAACGCUGGCGGCAUGCCUUACACAUGCAAGUCGAACGGUAACAGGUCUUCGGAUGCUGACGAGUGGCGAACGGGUGAGUAAUACAUCGGAACGUGCCUAGUAGUGGGGGAUAACUACUCGAAAGAGUGGCUAAUACCGCAUGAGAUCUACGGAUGAAAGCAGGGGAUCGCAAGACCUUGUGCUACUAGAGCGGCCGAUGGCAGAUUAGGUGGUUGGUGGGAUAAAGGCUUACCAAGCCGGCGAUCUGUAGCUGGUCUGAGAGGACGAUCAGCCACACUGGGACUGAGACACGGCCCAGACUCCUACGGGAGACAGCAGUGGGGAAUAUUGGGCAAUGGGCGAAAACCUGAUCCAGCAAUGCCGCGUGCAGGAUGAAGGCCUUCGGGUUGUAAACUGCUUUUGUACGGAACGAAAAGCCCCGGGUUAAUACCCUGGGGUCAUGACGGUACCGUAAGAAUAAGCACCGGCUAACUACGUGCCAGCCGCCGCCGUAA
RNAcentral lists this ribosomal RNA (498 nucleotides) under uncultured bacterium. RNAcentral describes it as "partial 16S ribosomal RNA". It matches the Rfam family "Bacterial small subunit ribosomal RNA", at positions 30 to 523 of the family's 1533-position model. The record is from RNAcentral.